UCAGUUCGGAUUGCAGGCUGCAACCCGCCUGCAUGAAGCCGGAAUCGCUAGUAAUCGCGGAUCAGAAUGCCGCGGUGAAUACGUUCCCGGGUCUUGUACACACCGCCCGUCACACCAUGGGAGUCGAUAACACCCGAAGCCUGUGAGCUAACCGUAAGGGGGCAGCAGUCGAAGGUGGGGUUGGUGAUUGGGGUGAAGUCGUAACAAGGUAAC
This 213-nucleotide ribosomal RNA is filed under the name uncultured bacterium. RNAcentral's name for it is "partial 16S ribosomal RNA". It matches the Rfam family "Bacterial small subunit ribosomal RNA", at positions 1288 to 1500 of the family's 1533-position model. The record is from RNAcentral.